GCCUAUGAUACUGUUUGGAUGAUUGCUAAUGCCAUGAAAAUGUUUUUAGAUCAAGGCAACACCAUUUCAUUUUCCAAUGAUUCAAAAUUAAGUGGUCUAGGAAGUGGGACUCUGAAUCUUGGAGCAUUAAGCAUUUUUGAUGGAGGAAAGCAGUUGCUUAAAAACAUAUUGCAGACAAAUAUGACAGGUCUGACAGGACCUAUUCAAUUUAAUCCCGACAGGUCUCUUUUGUAUCCUUCAUAUGAUAUCCUCAAUGCA
RNAcentral lists this unclassified non-coding RNA (258 nucleotides) under Hevea brasiliensis (rubber tree). The record is from RNAcentral. Lineage: Eukaryota; Viridiplantae; Streptophyta; Magnoliopsida; Malpighiales; Euphorbiaceae.